AAUGGCUGCAGUAAUUUGACUGUACAAAGGUAGCAUAAUCAUUAGUUUUUUAAUUAAAAGCUUGUAUGAAGGGUUGGACGAAAUAAAAUCUGUCUCUUUUUAAAAUAAUUAGAAUUUAAUUUUUAAGUUAAAAAGCUUAAAUUUAUAUAAAAGACGAGAAGACCCUAUAGAGUUUAAUAAUUUAAAUUUAUUAAUAAAUUUAGAUUUAUUUAUUUUAUUUUUUUAAGAUUAUUUUAUUGGGGUAAUAGAAAGAUUUAAAAAAUUCUUUUUUAAUAAAAUCAUUAAUUUAUGAAAAUUUUGAUCCAUUAAAUUUUGAAUAUAAGAUUAAAUUACCUUAGGGAUAACAGCGUAAUUUUUUUUAAGAGUUCAUAUCGAUAAAAAAGUUUGCGACCUCGAUGUUGGAUUAAAGAUUAAUUUAGGUGUAGAAGUUUAAAUUUUUGGUCUGUUCGACCAUUGAAUCUUUACAUGAUCUGAGUUCAAACCGGUGUAAGCCAGGUCGGUUUCUAUCU
RNAcentral lists this ribosomal RNA (509 nucleotides) under Trechus putzeysi. RNAcentral describes it as "partial 16S ribosomal RNA". It matches the Rfam family "Bacterial large subunit ribosomal RNA", at positions 1926 to 2643 of the family's 2925-position model. The record is from RNAcentral. Lineage: Eukaryota; Metazoa; Arthropoda; Insecta; Coleoptera; Carabidae.